Zophobas morio is the source of this 5130-nucleotide RNA transcript. It is a transcript of the gene named alpha-tocopherol transfer protein-like, with no coding region annotated. The record is from RefSeq and is a predicted model, not a curated record. NCBI's taxonomy places the organism in Eukaryota, Metazoa, Arthropoda, Insecta, Coleoptera, Tenebrionidae. The transcript is spliced from 8 exons.
GUUACAUUUGUAAUGAUAACUAAUCUUGAAAACUUAAAUUACACAAGUUAUAUUAAACCUCUCAGUGUGGGUCCUCUGUCAUGAAUACCUAACCACGACCCAGUCAACAAUAAGACAAGUAAACUUGUUUACUUGUCUGGGGCAGACUGGAAAAGUGAUAUCACGUUCUCGCCAAUAAAAAGAAAAAUAUCACAGGCGUGCCUUAGGUACUUCUUCACUGGUUUAGUAGCUUUGGCCAUUUAUCGGCGAUCUUUGGUUUCCCCAUACAUGCAAAUCUACUCCAAGGGUGGCAAUAGGCUUUAAGGCACAUUUUUAGAACAAUAGCCGUCAACGUAAAUUCCCGACCCUACAAUUUCCAGCCCAAGGCCAGCACGCUUAUGGAUUAUUCGCCGUGGAUGUUUAUUACAUUUUUUCAGUAACAAGCGAACUGAAAAAGAAAGAAAUAUUCACAAAAAUGGAAUCUACACCCUUGCUAAAACUGGAUGACAGUGUUUUGGAAACCGUAGUGGAACUGUUAAAUUAUUCUUCUAUGGAUUCGUUUAGUGAAGACGUUAGAAAAAUUAGGCAAUGGAUGAUGAAACAACCGCAUUUUCCUGAAGUGAUGGAUUUGCUUAAAGGAGUGACUCAAAAAAAUUGAAUCAAUCAAUUUAUUAUUGAUAAAAUUAAGAACGAGCCACCCCAUUUUCUGGAAAAUGUGAGAAUACGCUCGUCUUUAUAACAAUAAAAUAAUGACAAGGUAAGAAUUAUUAUAACAUUCAGAAUAUUUUUUUCAAUGGAGGCUUAUGAAUAAUUUUAGUCAUCUGUUUUGGGGCGAUAAACUCAUUCAAAUCAAACAAAUGUCUACGUGACAUUCUUCCGUUGUAAUGUAUUCUUGUUGAUAAUGUGCUGUAAAUAAAUUGUUUGCACUCAUAACCUUUUUUGAUGACCUUGGCGCAUUCAUCAGCAUGCGGGACGUCGAACAUCACGCACAGAUGCGUUUUGCUAUAAUGUCGUUGUUUAUAAAUAACGCUGGGCGGUCGAAAUUUAUUCAUCCUAUUUACCCGUCUGAAGUGCGCCCGGUGCAUCCUUGCCUUACUCGCUUCUCUCUUUCCAAUUGUGCAUCAUUUUUAAUAAUUUACAGAAAUAGUUUUAUUUUCAGGGAGACCGACACUUGAAAAUUAUUUAAAAUGUUAUUAUUAUUAUGUCGUGGAUAUGGAUUUUAAAAUCAUCAACUGACGUUCAGUUAACGUUAGUUUUCUCAUACAGUGACAACGUUCCUGUUGUAUACAAUAAAAUUUUAUGAUGGAUAAGCCAGUUAUAGUGGUCCAACUCUGACUUCGUUUUUAUGGUACUGUAAUCUCAACUACCGCAAAUAUUAUGAACUCUAUUGAAUAUGUAAAUAGCCGUGCCAUAAAUCAUCUUAAAGGUUUACGGACGCAUACGGCCCUGUGUAGUGCAGACAGUUGGUCCCUUGAUGGUUUAUGACCGCUGGAUUACUUGCGGCACAGGCCUAUUGUGGAACACUUAACUCCUUCACAGUAGGAUGCAGUCAUAAAAACGAACCAGCAUUUGCAGCACUAUAACUUCACAGCGGUUCAUACCCACCAUAAAUUGUAGUUUGAAAACCGGACAAAUGGAAUACCAGUAACCCGAGCCGUUCUUAGCUGUCCUUCUGGUUGAACAAUAGCGGCGCAUGCCAAGGCAGUGGGACACUCAGUGAGUGAACAGCUUAGCCAACCCCUCGUAAUGACCUUGUAAAAUUUCAUUGUAUACAACAGAAACGUUUCUAUAGUGAACCAAGACCUAUAAGGUUAUAUGGCCAUCAUAAAAGUAGUUGAUCGCAAAUAAAUACCCCCAUUGUGUGGUUCGCACUAAGCUUACCGGUUGGCAAUAAAUCAUCUUCUAAACAUUUCUUGCUCAUAUUUAACAGGGCCGGCUUUCAAAGCGAGUGGUUAUUUCGGAACCCUCAGCGGCUGCAGGUAGUAAAGAAAUAGUGGAGUGGUGGAUUUUCAUAUUUAGUGAAAGCCGCCCCUGAACGAAACCACAAGAGCCGGUCGAGCUGCAGUGGACACGUUAUUUACGACCCUAAAACCUUUUCUAUUGUAAACAACUUAACUUCGACACAAUGGGAUGAUUUUAUGAUGGCCACAUAACCUUAUAACUCUUGGUUCACUAUACUUUAAUUUUCUUCGUGUUGCGUAACAUCGGUUGCGAGCCACUGGUCCACCCGUAGCGCAUAAAUUUCAACCGCCUUGCCCUAUUUUUUUUAAAUUACACUACAUCUUCUUUACAGACAAUAGUAAAUGCUCUGUUUCUCUUGUUUUAGUAUUGUUAAUGGAUACCUAAUUUGUUGAAUUUAAACCUUGGGUAUCAUCGACAUUUAACAUCAGCAGCUCGUUCGAUCUUAAAGCAUCGUCAAUCCCUACCUGAAAUAAAAUGUAUGACUGGAAAGUUAACAAAUUUACCUUUAUUCACGCCAGGACAAUGGCGCCUGAUAAGGGGACGGUUGCUCGGGCGCCUGGGGUAUCCUAAGCCGGAGAAACGGAUCUCCAGAACCUCGUGAGCGGCCGCGACAAGAAAUAAAUAAUAAUCCGGUUAAGAUUUAAAAAUGAACGGUCUUUAUUUUCUAUCAGGCUAACUAUAACGGAUAAGAUAAAAAAUUAUCGGAUAAAACAGCAACUAAAGGAAAAGAAAAACAAUGCGGUCAAGGGCGUCCUUUGACCUCGGUGGUGGCAGUUUCUCAAUAGACGAACCUGCUUCGGGUGCUGGGGAGGUGGUGACGCUGAAAGUGGAUCGGACGCGGGCGGUAUGCCGAAAGAGGACGGAAUUGCGCUGUUUUAAUUGUGAUUAUUACCUCUUUCCUUACUUGAAGAAUACUGCCUUUAAGGAACCUGUUUAGACUAUUGAAGAACUAAAAACCAAAAUUAGAAACCAAUGCAACAGUGCUACAGAGAGAUUAAUGCUUGUAUUUGGUUUUUGGCAACUAUUCUGAAAGAUAAUUGAUAUUGUUUAUUUCAUUUUUCGUUAUUAUUAUUUAUUAAAUAAAGAUUGGAUAUCAACUUUGUUUAUAAAGACUAUAUUUAAUUUAUCAUUUUGUACAUAUUUAUUUUCAAUAACUUUGUUUGUUUACACCACUAUAACCCAAUUUUUGUAACUGGAUUAAUUGGAUCUGUGUUAUUUAUGCAUUAAGGGCAUAAUCAGGCAGAUUGUGGCACGAGGGAAUCUUUAACGCCCGACGAAGGAAGGCUUUUAAUUUCCCUAGUGCCACAAUCGCCAAUUAUACACGUAAUACAUACAACGUUUUAUUCUAUUUUAGUUUCUAAAUUAUUUUUAACGAAAUAUUGAGUAUUUUCGGCUAGAUUGUGUGAAUUAUGUCGAUGCGAACUUUAAUACAUAGCUGGCUAUUAUUUUGAUGUUGUUAUGGAUAUUGGAUACCACGUUGAUUAUUUGAUAAUUCGUUUAAAAAAAAAUGUUAAAUAUCGAGACUUGAUAAUUAAUUGAUUAGUGUAAAUGAACAAUCAAUUGUUGCUUAGCAAUUUAUGAGAGAUUUGUGCGAUAAAGGCCAACUUACGCCCGCAUUUGGGUGCUUAUAAACAAGACCUACUAGAUCGUAGUAGUGGAACCCAAUGUCAGGGAUGGACGGUGAAAGAUUAGUAAACUUGGCGACAACGAAACGUCAUUUGCGUUAGAAUUUUCAGGAAAUUUGUAAAUAGACGUGAGUUUAGCCAUAAUUCAUUCCACAUCACAUGUAUAACUUGUUUCAUUUUGUUUUGAUACUUAAAUGUAGUGCUUAAAGUUUCAAAAUUUUGACAAAACAACUGUAUGCAAUAGGUGGUACAAGUCAGGCCAAAUUUUUUCUUUUCCCGUGGCCGGUCUCGAUUAUUAUUUUUUUUUAACACAUACAUCUUAAUGCAGUGGUAUGACGUUAAAAUAGUAACAGAUUGGGAAAAUCGUUGUUAUUCUAACUAUUAUGGUUUUUUUCAACUCCUUGCUGUUACUGACCCAAUUAUUAAAUUAUUUUAUUCAUAAUUAAUAAGAGUUAUACGCAAGCUCAAGGCGAAAACAGUUUCCUAAUUUCGCGUUUACGCACUUUGCGUGGCCUUUCAAUUAAUUAACAACAUUAAAUUCGUACAAUCUAAUUCAGUUUCACGCGUAUCAAAGAAGAGGAAAGUAUUCCUAAAUAUGGGAUCUACGUGCUUGCUAGAAGCAGAUAACGAUGUUUUGAGACAAGUUGUGAAAUUGUUGAAUUAUUCCUCGAUAGAGUCGUUUAAUGAAGAUGUUGGAAAAAUUAAAGAAUGGAUAAAGAAGCAACCGCAGUUUCCAGAAGUGAUGGUCGACAAGAAAAUCAAAAAUUUUCUCAUAUUAAAUAAAGGAAGUGUCGAAAAAAGCAAAGAAAAAAUAGAAAAUUACUACACCGUAAGGUCUCAAUUGCCAGAAAUAUUUGAUAAUAUUCAUCCGAAACUCUCAUACAUGGAAACUGUAAAAGCAUCCAUCUAUUUUAUUCCUCUUCCAAAGCUGACGAAUGAAAUGUACAGAAUUCUUUUCUAUAAAGUGCGUGAUCCACAUUUAACAGAAAAUUUUGAGCCUGUCCAUGGUAUUCGUCUGCUGGUGAAUAUACAAGAAAUUCGUAUGACUGAAGAUAUUACCUAUGGGGAUGUGUUUAUACUGGAUGGUAAAAAUACGCCUCUCCGGUCGAUUCUCAAGGUCACACCCAUGGUGCUCUAUAAAGCACUGAAUGUUAUAUACACGCUGUUUACAUCAUCAAUGCUCCACCUUACGCAGAAAAGCUUUUUAAUGCUUUUAAGAGCCUUCUUAAACCUAAACUAAUAGAAAGGAUACACUUUUGCGAAGAUUCGCAUAUUUUAACUGAAAAGUUUGGAAAAGAAAUUAUUCCAGCAGAUUAUGGAGGCAGCGAAAAAUCUUUGGAAGUAUUGCAAGAAAUGCUGUAUCAAAAAUUUAAAGAGAGUGAAGAUUAUUUUACCCAACUAGAUAAACUUCGUAUAAAUGAUGAUUUGAAACCUCGGAGGCUUAUAAAUGAUGAAAUGUUUGGACUUUCUGGUAAUUUUAAGAAAUUAGAAAUUGACUGAUCAUUUGGGUUUAUUUUUGUAUAUGUCUUUUUGUAUUAGAAUUGGUUCAACUGCUUUUAUUUUA